GACGAACGCUGGCGGCGUGCUUAACACAUGCAAGUCGAACGAUGAAGCCUUAGCUUGCUUUGGUGGAUUAGUGGCGAACGGGUGAGUAACACGUGAGCAGCGUGCCCAGGACUCUGGAAUAACCGCGGGAAACCGUGGCUAAUACCGGAUAGGUGCCGAGGCCGCAUGGUCUUCGGUUGGAAAGUUUUUGCGGUUCUGGAUCGGCUCACGGCCUAUCAGCUUGUUGGUGGGGUAAUGGCCUACCAAGGCGACGACGGGUAGCCGGCCUGAGAGGGUGACCGGCCACACUGGGACUGAGACACGGCCCAGACUCCUACGGGAGGCAGCAGUGGGGAAUAUUGCACAAUGGGCGCAAGCCUGAUGCAGCAACGCCGCGUGGGGGAUGACGGCCUUCGGGUUGUAAACCUCUUUUAGUAGGGAAGAAGCGCAAGUGACGGUACCUGCAGAAAAAGCACCGGCUAACUACGUG
RNAcentral lists this ribosomal RNA (469 nucleotides) under uncultured bacterium. Its description in RNAcentral is "partial 16S ribosomal RNA". It matches the Rfam family "Bacterial small subunit ribosomal RNA", at positions 28 to 507 of the family's 1533-position model. The record is from RNAcentral.